This is a non-coding RNA of Mycena olivaceomarginata, 89 nucleotides long. The record is from the annotation of a GenBank genome assembly. Lineage: Eukaryota; Fungi; Basidiomycota; Agaricomycetes; Agaricales; Mycenaceae.
UCGGACAUGGUGUGCGGUGCACCGCCUCUUUGGAUGCGCUUCCUAACAGCAUUCAGAGGCAGCUCGGGGUUCGACUCCCUGUGUCCGAA